GGCGGGUCGCGCUCACCUGGGUCAUGAGGCGGUCGGCGCCCGUGUUCUCCUCGUCCUUGAAGAUGAUGUCGGGAUUGUAGUUGGGGGACACAGUGGUGGUUCAGGAUCUCAAUCUCAAAUUCAGAUCUGCAUCCAUGUGGUCACCUGCAGUGGAAGGAGGGUGGGGAAGAGGCCCGUAAGUAAAGCAUCGUCACUUCCACGGCAGUAAUCUUGGAGCGCUUUCGAUCCCAACUGGGGCCCAAGAUGGCUUGGCUGCCCAUGUUCUUAGCCGUUCGGUAGAUGUGGGGUAGCUUUGCACUUACGCUCAUCCAUCCAGAAGCAAAUGCAGCCUGCUCCUUUUUCUGGUCACUGGUAGAUCCUGUUGCCAAUAAACUGGAGAACCAAGGUGUGCCACUCCCAGGGCCAGCAAUGGCCUGGAGUUUAAGCAGCGGCAACAGAGCCUGAUGAGGGCACCUCACAUCUGAGUCCUGGGCCUAUUGGUAAAAUCGCUUUCCUUCUCCCACCUCUAGACCCCUUCGCCCCCUCAAUCGUCUGGAUUUUGCAAAGAACAAAGUAAAAUCUAUUUCUUUGGAUAUGCUGAUUUCUUUUUUGCUUACUAGAGUGCACGUUGGAAAACUAGGUCGGAAAGAAAGAGGAGAGGGAGGAAAAGACACCAUAGAACCGGAUAAUUUAAACAUAUCUGUUGGGGGCACCUGGAUGGGUCAAUCAGUAGAGUGUGGGACUCUUGAUCUCGGGGACAUGAGUUCCAGCCCUAUGUUGGGUGUAGAGAUUACUUAAAUGAAAAUUUAAAGGUUUUACUAUCUGUUUAUUAGACUACUAUGCUAGUAUAUUUACUCCGUCUUGAAAUUAACACUGUAGUACAAAUACCAUGUGCUGCUUGUCAUCUAUUUGUACAGGUGUGUGUAGGUAUGUGCGUGUGUACAGACGUGUGUGUAUAUCCGCAGAAUCACACACAUAAUCUGUGCUGGUCCCUAUUUCUGUAAUCAACUAGUCUUUUUCCUCCUAGUCCUGCCACUUGCCCAGAUCAAUCUUGCUCUAAAUCCAUGGGAGCCAAGCCACAACGAGACAAGUUUCAGGAAUGCCGUUAGUUGAAUACCUGCCGGUGACUCAGGGCACAGCAGCCCCGGCUCAUGGAAAGAGCACCAGGCCUGGAAUCGGCCAAUCUGCACCCGAACGUGGUCUCUGAUACCUUCUACCCAUGUGGCCUUGGGUGUCCUUCUGCCAGUUUUAAACCAGUUCCUGCUUUAAAAUGGCUUUGGGGGAGGACCCACAGGAGCCAUGCCUGUCCCCAAAUUACCACACAGCACCCUCAGUGAGAAACAUCAAAUGCUCCCUCCUGGUGUUCCAUCCUCGCCCUGUAUGACAUGAUCAAGUAAGUUUCGUUUGGCACAGUUCUACUAUUUUCAUUCUUCCAAUCCUAAAAAUGCGCCUACACUUUGACCGUUCAAUAGUCCAAGUUGCUGGCGCUGGGCCUCACUGUACCUCAGCUCACUGGCUGUGACACCUCUAAAGGCAAGGUGACAGCGGGGGACAAACUCAGAGUUGGCCAUUUCUUAAACCAGGUGCCCUAGUGUCCACAGGAGGAACGUCGUCUGCCUUUGGCCAAACAUACUGCUGCGUUAAUUUUCCCUUUAGACAAUCCAGACCCUGCAUCUCCUUUCGAUUCCACGUGGCCAUUGCCUAGGCCCUCUAUUCCCUCUGUCCUCCUCUUCCAAUCGUGUAAAUUACCCUGCCACCCUGAAUUGGUACUUAUUAAAAAGAGCAACGGAAUGGACAUUAGCACCAGCAGAAAACCACUCAAGGUGGGUUAUCUGGGUCACAUCCACACAUCAUCAGAGUAUGACUCUUUACAUUAUUGUCAUAUCCGGUAACUAAUGAAACAGAAAUCCUUUCUGGCAAUUCCUCUUCCCCCAGCCAGGGCCUUCCUGUUCCUCCCAUAUGUGACAUGGGACCCAUCGGUACUGCCGCGUGCCCUGGGCAGCGCCAGGCAGCAGUUGUAAAUGAAACUGGCAGGCUUUCCUCCUCCCGUGGUAGCAGAUCUUUUAGUCUUGAAUAAAGGAUCUCUUAACAUGCUCCUUCCUCCCAGGACCCCCGGCAGUACUGUGCUUGACCCCUGGCCACAGACCCAGACCCUGCAGGGCUUCCCCCACUCCCCGCCCCCCAGCGCCGACUCAGCGCACCAUCCUGCUUACCCUUCAAGGCUUGGGGUGGGAGGGGGAAGCUGGAUGGAAGGCUAGUCAAGAGGGUUACCCUUACCCUACUCCAUUCUCCCUUCUCCUGUCGAUCCUAUCAGGGGUCCAUAAAGCGAGGAGGACUCUGGCCCGGGAGAGGGGGGUAGGGGUUAGGCAAACAGGCCAGGGAGGCAGUUGGUUGAAGUUUAACCACAAUAUUCUUGGUCUCUAUUGUUUUGAGUGAGGCCCAAUAUUUCCACAGCAGGAUUAUAGAAUCUGAUUAACCAUGUUAGACAACAAUGCCGAGCUGGGAUGGGCUUCCCCUUCCAGCUGCCAAUAUGAAAAAGUAAAUAUAACACCCAGAUUUCAGAAGGGACUCCCAGCAGCCCCCAAGCCCUCCUCCCCAGUUCUAGCCCCGCUUCUGUUUGGGGACCCAAAGUGAGGGGAGGACGAGUGUGGCAUCGCAUAUGCUCCUUUAACUCCUGGCCCUCGGCCCAGCAGGACAGGUAAUCCUGGUACAAUCUUCCCAGGUGAGUCAAUGGCUAUGUGCUCCCCACACCCUGGAGUCCUUCCAGUGCCUCUUCCGGGUUCCCCUGAGCUGGCCCAGACUCUCAGGAACCCAUGAGAGUUAGGUGCGGAGAGGCUAGCUGCAUUCAAAGGGUCCGGGAGUGUAGAGGGCCCAGCAGAAUGUUCUGGGCUUCCAGAGAGAGCGAGACCAAGCACGGGUAGGACUUAAUAGCUUGGAAGAGCAAAGGAGCCUUUGCUGGAAGGCUUCGGUGCCAUGUCAUGACUUCCUGGAAGCCAGGGUAAAGAAAUGAGACCCCAGAGUUGAGGAACCACCAUAAGGCAGCACCUCGGGAGACGGAAAAGUAUUCCUCCAAGGGUCUAGGACAACAGACAGAGGACAGCUGGGCUUGCAGCUCAAGGAACGAGGGAUCCCUUAGGUCCCUCUGUGUCACCCAUGUGCACGCACGCAAGCUAAUUCAGACUCUCCCUGUCUGGAUGUUUCCCCUCAGGAUGGGGUCUUCUGAUGCCCUGUCCGACGCGGUGGGGGUGCGGGGAGGAAUACAGCAGUAAGGAGCAACAAGAUUAACUUGCAGCUUCCAGAAGGUCGUGGCGGUUUGGGAGAUCUCUCCCUCCAAAGUGGGACUCCCCCGCCUUCCGUCGUUCCUCUCUGUAACUGAGUGCCCAGCAUAAUCCAGUGCAAGUCGGUGAGCCCACGUAUUUACUGAUGUCGGGAACAGGGUCUAGGAACCCAGAGCCACGGCUCUGGCUCCGAGGCGGGGGUCUUCCUGUAGGAGGUCACUACUCCUUUUGAAGUGUUUCUUCUUUGGGAAAACUAGAAUAUAGAAAAUACUUCAGGGCAGAGCUUAGGAAAGCACACAUCCUGGGGCGCCUGGCCGGCUCAGUGGGUAGAGCGUUUAACUCCUGAUCCUGGGGUUGCGAGUUCGAGCCCCAUGUUGGGUAUAGAGAUUACUUCAAAAAGGAAAGAAAAGCAUACAUCCGGAUCUUAUCAAAACCCAGUUAACAUGAAGUUGCACCGUUUGCUCGUAUAAUCCCACCAUGGUGAUAUUUUCUGAAUUAGGGUCAAAAGCGGACUCUGUUCUCAGAGAGUAUUUUUACUCCUUGAGAGUAUGAAAGGAUGAAAACAGAAGGCACACAGGAAGUAGGUGUAUAACACAGAUGACAUUAAUAGCUCAAAUAGCGAGGGGGUAGGCAGAACAGAGAAAGAGCUUAUUACAUCGUGAGGAUGGGUUAUUAAGAGGAUUUUAGGGUUCCCCUGUACUCUGGGGAGCAGAUCUUCCUAGUUUUGUAAAUAGGACAACACGAGGGACAGCAUAAUGGUGGACAGAAGGAGAACCAGACCAAGCUGUGGCCUUUUCCAUCCCCCCAAACUCCCCCCCCGCCCCGGCAAUGUCGCUAUCCAGAGGCAGACGGGCUCAUCUCCCAACCGCCCAGUCGAGGAGCGGAGUGCUCCGUGGAGGUGAAGUUCAUCAGACCCCGGGGAAGCGACAGAUUCUUUCCUCGUCCGGAACCGUAGGAGCACUGAUCUCUUUGCUUCCUUACACUCCAGAAAUUCCAGGGUCAGCUCCUCCAGGUUCAGUGGGAAGAUGCAGACUAGAAGCUCCUUUUUCCCUUCUCAAUAACUUUUCUAGCCUUUGGAAACACUCCUUGAUCUAGGAGACGUGACAGAGCAGAGAAUGACCCCGGUGGGAUUUUUUUCCAGGCGGUGGCCAGGGCGCUGCCCUCAAGGCUGCUGGGAAGCCCUCAGUCAGGCCCGGCCGAAGGAGGUGCUGCCCAGCUGGCCGGCUAAGGGACGAAGAUUUCUCUUCCAGCAAAGAGCUUGCCUGUCCCAGCUGACUGUGGGGGGCAGGGGCGCCCGUCCGCGAGGCCAAAUAGGCCUGGCAGCCUAGGUGGCGCUAUUUCCCUAUUUUUAGGUCAAAUUGCAAGAACUUCCUCGAGGUCCCUAGUCCUGCUCCUGGUUUGCUGGCUUGCUCCUGUAAACCACCUUAUAUUAUUUUUUUUUCUAAAAAUACUCCAAAGCAAUUGAAAGAGUCCCUUCUCCCAACAGCCAGCCCUGGCCCCAGCCCCGGCCCCGGGGAGCGGGCGGGUAGGCGGGGAGGUGGGCCACUGCUUUAUUAAACACAGGGAAAACUAAUAUUUACGGAAUAAAAUUUAUGGAGCAGCCACGAGAAUUCGACCCUUUUAUGUGCAUGUGGGGUGGGGGUUGGGCCAGGCUGGGGGCCUGGGGAGGGGCCCAAGCCAGGGGGCAGGGCUGGAGUACAGCCUGGCCAGGCCAAUUUGUAGAGGCUGGGAUUUCCCUGGAGUUGCCCCCAGGAUUCGCAAUCACCACCCCUAGCUCGGAGGGGCAAGGAUACCCACCCAGGGCAGAGCCUCUGGGAGCACUGCUUCUCGAAGGAUAUGUUUAGGCAAAUCCCUAUGCAGGCAGCAAACUUUGGGGUGAAGGGGACAGUGCGGUG
Mustela erminea (ermine) is the source of this 5152-nucleotide long non-coding RNA. RefSeq lists it as uncharacterized. The transcript has 4 exons. The record is from RefSeq and is a predicted model, not a curated record. NCBI's taxonomy places the organism in Eukaryota, Metazoa, Chordata, Mammalia, Carnivora, Mustelidae.